Molecule: ribosomal RNA, 472 nt
Filed under: uncultured bacterium
Lineage: Bacteria
Description: bacterial SSU rRNA
Rfam family: Bacterial small subunit ribosomal RNA
Source: RNAcentral
ACUCCUACGGGAGGCAGCAGUGGGGAAUAUUGGACAAUGGGGGAACCGUAGCAUCCAGCCAUGCCGCGUGUGUGAAGAAGGCCUUCGGGUUGUAAAGCACUUUCAGUAGUGAGGAGGAUUGCGUGUUUAAGAGAUGCGCAUGAAGACGUUAACUACAGAAGAAGCACCGGCUAACUCUGUGCCAGCAGCCGCGGUAAUACAGAGGGUGCGAGCGUUAAUCGGACUUACUGGGCGUAAGGGUGAGUAGGCGGAAUUGUAAGUUAGUUGUGAAAGUCCAGGGCUUAACCUUGGAAGGUCAAUUGAUACUGCAAUUUCUAGAGUUCAGCAGAGAGAGUGGAAUUUCCGGUGUAGCGGUGAAAUGCGUAGAUAUCGGAAGGAACACCAGUGGCGAAGGCGUCUCUCUGGGCUGAAACUGACGCUGAUGCACGAAAGCGUGGGUAGCAAACAGGAUUAGAUACCCUGGUAGGCUGCU